Molecule: long non-coding RNA, 448 nt
Organism: Pantherophis guttatus
Lineage: Eukaryota; Metazoa; Chordata; Lepidosauria; Squamata; Colubridae
Source: RefSeq, a predicted model, not a curated record
UGAACCAGGACAAUACGGUUUUGUACAAGUAACCAAGGAUAAAGGGGGUUAAGACUGUAUUUAAGUCUUAAAUCAAGGUUGACUCAGUCUUCCAUCCUUUCUAAGGGUGCAGGUAUAGUUAACCAUUAUUACACUUUUGGAUGAAGAGUCAUGGCAGCAAGACUGGCAAUCCCAACAGGUUAAACCAGAAUUCUUGAUAUUAGAAGACAAGAACCCUUCAGACUUGACAGAAUGUGAACUGCUUGCUGGGACUCAGUCAUUCAAUCUGAUUGGCACAAAAAACAUUGCAACUCUCUGGUCCCUUGCAACUCAAAUCAAACACAGUUCUGUCUUUAAGGUCAACCAUGACAGUAAUUGGAUUUGAUGAUUCUGUUUAUUCCCUGACAGAGCUUCCUUAGACUGUGAAAGCUGUGAAAAUCUCUCAUCUAAACCUUUCUUUCAAAGCUUC